This 377-nucleotide ribosomal RNA is filed under the name uncultured bacterium. Its description in RNAcentral is "bacterial SSU rRNA". It matches the Rfam family "Bacterial small subunit ribosomal RNA", at positions 521 to 896 of the family's 1533-position model. The record is from RNAcentral.
UAAUACAGAGGGUGCGAACGUUGCUCGGAAUUACUGGGCGUAAAGCGCGUGUAGGCGGGGUCGCAAGUCAGAUGUGAAAUCCCUGGGCUCAACCCAGGAACUGCAUCUGAAACUGCGAUCCUUGAGUACUGGAGAGGGUGGCGGAAUUCCUGGUGUAGAGGUGAAAUUCGUAGAUAUCAGGAGGAACACCGGUGGCGAAGGCGGCCACCUGGACAGUAACUGACGCUGAGACGCGAAAGCGUGGGGAGCAAACAGGAUUAGAUACCCUGGUAGUCCACGCCGUAAACGAUGAGUGCUAGGUGUCUCGGGUAUUGACCCCUGAGGUGCCGUAGCUAACGCGUUAAGCACUCCGCCUGGGAAGUACGGUCGCAAGACUA